UCUCCCACGACUCGGCCGCGUCGACGAGUUUGAUCCUGGCUCAGGAUGAACGCUGGCGGUCUGCUUAACACAUGCAAGUCGACCAAGUAGAACGCUGAAGGAGGAGCUUGCUCUUCUGGAUGAGUUGCGAACGGGUGAGUAACGCGUAGGUAACCUGCCUGGUAGCGGGGGAUAACUAUUGGAAACGAUAGCUAAUACCGCAUAACAUUGACUAUUGCAUGAUAGU
Molecule: ribosomal RNA, 226 nt
Filed under: uncultured bacterium
Lineage: Bacteria
Description: partial 16S ribosomal RNA
Rfam family: Bacterial small subunit ribosomal RNA
Source: RNAcentral